CACAAGCGGUGGAGCAUGUGGUUAAUUCGACGCAACGCGCAGAACUUACCUGGUCUUGACAUCUACGGAACCCUCUCGAAACGGAGGGUGCCUUUCGGGGAGCCGUAAGACAGGUGCUGCAUGGCUGUCGUCAGCUCGUGUCGUGAGAUGUUGGGUUAAGUCCCGCAACGAGCGCAACCCCCUAUCCUCAGUUGCCAUCAUUAAGUUGGGCACUCUGUGGAGACUGCCGGUGUCAAACCGGAGGAAGGUGGGGAUGACGUCAAGUCCUCAUGGCCCUUAUGACCAGGGCUACACACGUGCUACAAUGGCCGGUACAAAGGGCAGCGACACAGCGAUGUGAAGCGAAUCCCGAAAAGCCGGUCUCAGUCCGGAUUGGAGUCUGCAACUCGACUCCAUGAAGUUGGAAUCGCUAGUAAUCGCGGAUCAGCACGCCGCGGUGAAUACGUUCCCGGGCCUU
This 457-nucleotide ribosomal RNA is filed under the name uncultured Desulfocapsa sp. RNAcentral describes it as "bacterial SSU rRNA". It matches the Rfam family "Bacterial small subunit ribosomal RNA", at positions 924 to 1382 of the family's 1533-position model. Lineage: Bacteria; Pseudomonadati; Thermodesulfobacteriota; Desulfobulbia; Desulfobulbales; Desulfocapsaceae. The record is from RNAcentral.